Molecule: ribosomal RNA, 696 nt
Rfam family: Bacterial small subunit ribosomal RNA
ACACAUGCAAGUCGAACGAUGAAGCCCAGCUUGCUGGGUGGAUUAGUGGCGAACGGGUGAGUAACACGUGAGUAACCUGCCCUUAACUCUGGGAUAAGCCUGGGAAACUGGGUCUAAUACCGGAUAGGAGCGCCGACCGCAUGGUGGGUGUUGGAAAGAUUUAUCGGUUUUGGAUGGACUCGCGGCCUAUCAGCUUGUUGGUGAGGUAAUGGCUCACCAAGGCGACGACGGGUAGCCGGCCUGAGAGGGUGACCGGCCACACUGGGACUGAGACACGGCCCAGACUCCUACGGGAGGCAGCAGUGGGGAAUAUUGCACAAUGGGCGCAAGCCUGAUGCAGCGACGCCGCGUGAGGGAUGACGGCCUUCGGGUUGUAAACCUCUUUCAGUAGGGAAGAAGCGAAAGUGACGGUACCUGCAGAAGAAGCACCGGCUAACUACGUGCCAGCAGCCGCGGUAAUACGUAGGGUGCGAGCGUUAUCCGGAAUUAUUGGGCGUAAAGAGCUCGUAGGCGGUUUGUCGCGUCUGUCGUGAAAGUCCGGGGCUUAACCCCGGAUCUGCGGUGGGUACGGGCAGACUAGAGUGCAGUAGGGGAGACUGGAAUUCCUGGUGUAGCGGUGGAAUGCGCAGAUAUCAGGAGGAACACCGAUGGCGAAGGCAGGUCUCUGGGCUGUAACUGACGCUGAGGAGCGAAAGC